This 252-nucleotide ribosomal RNA is filed under the name uncultured bacterium. RNAcentral describes it as "partial 16S ribosomal RNA". It matches the Rfam family "Bacterial small subunit ribosomal RNA", at positions 524 to 775 of the family's 1533-position model. The record is from RNAcentral.
GACAGAGGUCCCGAGCGUUAGGCGGAAUCACUGGGCUUAAAGCGUGUGUAGGCGGAUUUGUAAGUACCUUGUGAAAUCCCACGGCUUAACCGUGGAACUGCUGGGUAUACUGCGAAUCUUGGGCCAUCUAGGGGCUAGCGGAACAAACGGUGGAGCGGUGAAAUGCGUAGAUAUCGUUUGGAACGCCAAUGGUGAAAACAGCUAGCUGGGGAUGUGCCGACGCUGAGACACGAAAGCCAGGGGAGCGAAAGC